Molecule: long non-coding RNA, 342 nt
Organism: Candoia aspera
Lineage: Eukaryota; Metazoa; Chordata; Lepidosauria; Squamata; Candoiidae
Exons: 3
Source: RefSeq, a predicted model, not a curated record
CAAAGAGGGGAGCACAGACCCCGUGGAGGAGCCCAGCUGCUUUUCUCCCCCACUGCUCAGGAGGGGCUCCCUGCGCAGCGGGCAGUCUGAAGGUCCUGACUGGGGCCCUGGAGGCAUGCUGGAGAGGGUGGACGAAAGGCUGCGCGAGUGCUUGAGGACCACCCCCCUGGUGGAAGAGCUGCCCAAAGGCCUGCGCAGAGCCAGUCCUGCCCAGAUGGCCACCAAGUGGGUGGACUACUCCAAUAGGUAUGGGUUCGGCUACCAGCUCUCCAGUGGAUCAACCGCAGUGCUGCUCCCCGAUGGGACCCACCUGGCUUUCUGCCCCCAACGACAGUGAGUGCC